GCUGGGUGUGGUGGUGCACACCUGUAAUCCAAGCUACUUGGGAGGCUGAGACAGGAGAAUCACUUGAACCCAGGAGACAGAGGUUGCAGUGAGCUGAGAUGGCACCACUGCACUCCAGCCUGGGCGACAGAGUGAAACUCUGUCUCAA
Molecule: non-coding RNA, 148 nt
Filed under: Nomascus leucogenys (northern white-cheeked gibbon)
Lineage: Eukaryota; Metazoa; Chordata; Mammalia; Primates; Hylobatidae
Source: Rfam by way of RNAcentral